Non-coding RNA from Erythranthe guttata (spotted monkey flower), 700 nucleotides. NCBI's taxonomy places the organism in Eukaryota, Viridiplantae, Streptophyta, Magnoliopsida, Lamiales, Phrymaceae. The record is from RefSeq and is a predicted model, not a curated record.
CACGCGCGAAAUGUGCGAAUGGGUGUGUAUUUUUUACGCGAAAAGACUCGAAUACCCUUUAAAUUAGUAAUUUAAAAAAUUAUAAAUUCAACCCAUAAUUUUAAUCAGGCCCAAAAUGAAGUUCUCAAAAUUUUUAAUUCAAUUCCAAUAUUUCUAAAAAGCCAUCUUCCCCAAUCAACCCGAAACCAGAUUUCUCUUCUCCACCACACACCUACAACUACCAAAAUUUUCCUCCACCAUCAAAUAAUCCAUUACAAAUCAACAAAUAAAAGGGAAGUUGAAAUUCAAUUCAAGCCAAAAAUGAAAUGCAUUUGCAAUUCCAUUACAGACCGUAUAUUUGUGUGUGUUUGUGUGUAAGACCCACCAUUAGAGCACGUAAAGGGGAGCUUGAGCAAAGACAAUAAACUCCUUAAACCUCCUAACUCUAAAUAAAUGGCCUAUUCCCUCGUCAUUUCCCUGCGUCAGACACCAUUCAGUUGUUCUUGAGGUGGUCGGUCGUCUUCAACUCCACUGUCGUCCCCAAAGGGAAGAUUUUUCAAACUUUUCUUUUUCUUUUUUUCCCGAUUUUUUGUGUUGUACUGUGGGGUAUUUGGCUUGUUCUACUUAGGCAUGGUUUCGUCAUUUCAUGUAAGUCAACACCCAAUUUUAAUGUCAGGGGCAGUAUGCUUUGCAAAAUAAAAUAUAUGGAGGUCUUUGCUAA